UCCACCUUUCGAGGUAACCGGCGCCCCCCAGGGGGUGCUCGCAGUGGCUUGUCCGGUUGUCGUGAGAUGUUCGGGUUAUGUCCCGCAACGGAGGGGCACCCCUCGUCCUUUAGUUUGCCAUCAUUUCAGGUUGGGGGGCCCUCUCAUAAGGGGAGAACUCGCCGGGUGGAUAAAGCCCGGCGAGAGCACACGGGUUGUUGGAUUAACCGGUUCCAAAGUCCCUCCAAUUGGUCCCCUUUACCGGGGGAUUUGCGGCUUACAG
This 262-nucleotide ribosomal RNA is filed under the name uncultured organism. RNAcentral's name for it is "partial 16S ribosomal RNA". The record is from RNAcentral.